This 2174-nucleotide unclassified non-coding RNA is filed under the name Orbicella faveolata. RNAcentral's name for it is "uncharacterized LOC110064025, transcript variant X1". The record is from RNAcentral. Lineage: Eukaryota; Metazoa; Cnidaria; Anthozoa; Scleractinia; Merulinidae.
GACUACUUCCGGUUUUCCACGAAAGCGAAAGAAAAAAGCGGAAGUGUAUUUUCUGGGAAUAUUGCGAUUUGUGGUUCUUGUUGUUCAUUAACAUGGCAGGAUUGAACACAAAGUCGCCGGGCUCGAGGUCUGGAAGUCGCAGAGAAUCGCUUGAAAUGACAAAUCAAAGUGAAUCACUCGCUUCCAACAGCCAAUUUAUGCAAUUAUUGAGAAUGCUACCGGAUGAGUUGGAGCGACUGGAGCGGAAAAUUAAGAAACUUGAGAAAGAAGUGAAAGCGUCCCCAUCAAGUGUAGACUCCUCCAGUAAGAGAGUUGAGAAAUUUUGGAAAGAGCGGUGGGAAGCCAAAGAAAAACAACUAAUAAGCAAACAAGAUGACAGGAUAUUUGAAUUGCGGAAACACUAUGAACAACAGCUGAAGAACAGUACAGAAAUUUUACAGAAAAACAACACGGAGCUUCAAAAUCGCUUAAAUGAAAGCACAGACAUUGCCUCCCAGAAAGGCAAAGAAAAUGAGGCAUUAAAGAAGAAAUUGAGAGAAUGUGAACGUCAGCUACAGGAGAAGAUCAAUUCCAGUCCAAAAUACUUUCGAGAUGCGGACGGGUACAGUUAUGAAGAACAAAUGGUGAAGACAAAGCACGCGCUGGAGGAGAAACGCAGAGAGCUUGACAGGUUUAAAGAAAGGCAUGCCGCUUUCUCGGAAAGAAGAGUGAGAUCUGAUCAGAGAAGGACAGAAAACACACUAAGCACAAACAGGCAGUCACAGCUGGAGAGUGACUACGUCAUUGAAUUUAAGGACGGUACACGUGUCGAUGCCAUUGACAUUAUAACAACUAGAGUUGGUCGUUAUCGGGGAAGCAAAAUCAGCUCAAUUGAGUAUUUAAGGUGCUGCAGACUUGCUUGCUUUGUGUUUGAGAUCGCUUAUGAAGUCGUUUUGGCUGUGAAGGAGUCCUUCGCCGCAUUCACUUGUACUGUAAUGGAAAUGUUAGUGGAAGACGCUCCAGCUAUUGGCUCGGACAACAAUGCAUUUAAUAGCAAGCUUUGGAAACUGCAGUAUGGUCACCCAAAAGAAACCUUACAUAGCACAACUCGAGAUGCGUUAAGCGAGGUGAUGAUCCUUGUCAAGGAACGAGCAAAGAAACACGAUUUACAUUCUCUUGUUCAACAUGUCAAAAGUUCUGUUGCUACGCAGUGGAAUGGUCGUUACGGAGACCAACUUCUUCUAGCUUACGACAGCAUCGUCUUGCAUGGCUUAAAUGACUACAUCAAAUAUUGCACACAGUUCGCCUGGUAUGCUGUCACUCAAGUGCCUCCUCUGAAGAUUGACUACAAGACAGCUGCUUACAGUUCUAGGAGUCACACAGUGAACCAAGCUUUUAGCUUUACUGAAGAACGGAGCCCAACUCGUCGUCCCGUUCGUUCAGAAUCGCGAACUGUUUUGUGUUAUCUGUGGCCAACUCUUCAAGACUGUGAUGGUAAAGUUAUCAGGAAAGGAGAGGUUAUUCUUAAUCGUUAGCGUAAACGAAGGUGCAUAAUACUUUCCUUAAAGAAGAAGGGUAAAUGUUUUUAGUAUCUAGAGUGUUAGAAUAGUGACGUGAUGUCUUACCUUGCAGAAGAGAGUACAACUCAAUCCGUUAAGGUCAUUAUGAGGCAGUCUACUAAUUCAGUUUGGGCUUCUUUGAUAUGGAAAGGGAAGAAAAAAGAUCUUAUAUAGAACGUUUAGGUAGUCCGUUUGUAAUAUAUUUCAAUACUAAGAUUAUUAUUUUUUACUUGAUUUCAUAUUGUUAGUUAGAAAAUGGAAGAAUCGAGUUACUAACUAUAAAAGCAUGUCAUGGAGUUACUAAAGCAUGCCAGGUAGUUAUAUUUGAUAAAAUGAUCAUUUCAAGAUAAAGUGUGCAAGGUUGUUUUGCAGUUGGUCUUUUGCUUGUUAACACCAGCUAACCUCAACUGUAGCAAUACAACUAAUUACCUGAUAUGUUGCUAGGGCUGGUAGGUAUACUUUCGGUAAACUUCCGCGUGCGGGAAUAAGCCCACAAGGAAAAUAAAAACUUCUCCGGUGUGAGUGUAAACAUAUUUACUGUCUACUUAUUUACUUUGUGAGAAGAAUUCCUCGAGAAACAUGGCUACUUUCGAACAAAUUCAUACAUACCAAUUAUUUACAUAGACGUAGCCUAGA